AAGAUCAAAAGCCCUAUAUAAGAGGUUUCAGCACCCAUAUCUCAACUUAUUCCAUUGAUCUCUUAUCAAUUCCUACACUGAUUUAAACAUCGAAGAAGUUGUCUACCAACCCACUGAUGUCCUUUGUGUUGUAUUACAGAUUAAAGAGAAGAACAACAUCAAUUACCCAUUACAUAAAUGUAUUCAGAGCCCAUACUUAUAAUUUGCAACCAACUUCCAAAUGCAGUAGACGAUGGAAACACCAAAACUUCAUUG
Molecule: unclassified non-coding RNA, 255 nt
Filed under: Hevea brasiliensis (rubber tree)
Lineage: Eukaryota; Viridiplantae; Streptophyta; Magnoliopsida; Malpighiales; Euphorbiaceae
Source: RNAcentral